RNAcentral lists this ribosomal RNA (496 nucleotides) under uncultured bacterium. Its description in RNAcentral is "partial 16S ribosomal RNA". It matches the Rfam family "Bacterial small subunit ribosomal RNA", at positions 29 to 507 of the family's 1533-position model. The record is from RNAcentral.
AUGAACGCUGGCGGCGUGCCUAAUACCUGCAAGUCGAGCGAACAGACGAGGAGCUUGCUCCUCUGACGUUAGCGGCGGACGGGUGAGUAACACGUGGAUAACCUACCUAUAAGACUGGGAUAACUUCGGGAAACCGGAGCUAAUACCGGAUAAUAUAUUGAACCGCAUGGUUCAAUAGUGAAAGACGGUUUUGCUGUCACUUAUAGAUGGAUCCGCGCCGCAUUAGCUAGUUGGUAAGGUAACGGCUUUCCAAGGCGACGAUGCGUAGCCGACCUGAGUGGGUGAUCGGCCACACUGGAACUGAGACACGGUCCAGACUCCUACGGGAGGCAGCAGUAGGGAAUCUUCCGCAAUGGGCGAAAGCCUGACGGAGCAACGCCGCGUGAGUGAUGAAGGUCUUCGGAUCGUAAAACUCUGUUAUUAGGGAAGAACAAAUGUGUAAGUAACUAUGCACGUCUUGACGGUACCUAAUCAGAAAGCCACGGCUAACUACGUG